This 284-nucleotide non-coding RNA is filed under the name Candidatus Magasanikbacteria bacterium GW2011_GWA2_56_11. The record is from RNAcentral. Lineage: Bacteria; Candidatus Magasanikiibacteriota.
CUAACUCUGUAAGCCCAAACCGGGCCUGGUGCAGAGUGAUUGUGGUAACACAGUCAAAGAAAAUCUCGCUAUAUGCUGGAAACUUCUGUUAAUGGCACACUACCUAAAAACGGUGACAAUGUGUGUCAAACCCAAAAAAACGUACUACCGCACGUAUAGGGGUUGCAGAACAAUCAGCAGGAAACCGCAAACUACAACCGGUUUGCGGGCUCCUCAGAGACUACACGCGAGACUCCCGAGUUAGUCGGGAUGAUGAUAUAGUCCAACGAGCUCUUCAUAUGAAG